UGAGCUGUGGUGUAGGUCACAGACGCGGCUCAGAUCCCAUGUUGCUGUGGCUGUGGGGUAGGCCAGCAUCUACAGCUCUGAUAUGACCCCUAGCCUGGGAACUUCCACAUGCCAUAGGUGCGGCCCUAAAUUAAAAAAAAAAAAAAAAAAAAAAGGAGUGCUGGCUUAUAUCUCCAUUUAUCCUCUAUGGUCUCCCAAUAAAGUAAGAGUUUGGAUAGGAGCACCGUGCCCUCCCAAAAGGACAGCCCCUUCUACUUUCUCUCCUCCUAACCUGAACUUAUUGGACACCCUACAGAAUCAGCUCACCUGUGCCCCUCAAGAACCUCGCUGGAAACCCUUCUGCCAAGCUCAUCUCCUGAUUGAGUCUCCAUGUGGCAAGUGCUCCAGGACUGAUGGGAGAUGA
Molecule: long non-coding RNA, 403 nt
Filed under: Sus scrofa (pig)
Lineage: Eukaryota; Metazoa; Chordata; Mammalia; Artiodactyla; Suidae
Description: lncRNA (ENSSSCG00055005434.1)
Source: RNAcentral